This 72-nucleotide transfer RNA is filed under the name Bos taurus (domestic cattle). It matches the Rfam family "tRNA". Rfam says of the family: Transfer RNA (tRNA) molecules are approximately 80 nucleotides in length. The record is from Rfam by way of RNAcentral. Lineage: Eukaryota; Metazoa; Chordata; Mammalia; Artiodactyla; Bovidae. RNAcentral also lists the same sequence under 5 other names.
UCCCUGGUGGCUCAGACAGUAAAGAAUCUGCCUGCGAUGCAGGAGACCCAGGUUCGAUCCCUGGUUGGGAAG